This 55-nucleotide non-coding RNA is filed under the name unclassified sequences. The record is from Rfam.
CAUGUGGUGUCCGACUUCGGGUUGGGAGAGCGACAUGGCCUUCAACUAUAAAGGU